This 586-nucleotide ribosomal RNA is filed under the name Phialophora mustea. Its description in RNAcentral is "eukaryotic LSU rRNA". The stretch from base 220 to 373 matches the Rfam family "5.8S ribosomal RNA". The record is from RNAcentral. Lineage: Eukaryota; Fungi; Ascomycota; Eurotiomycetes; Chaetothyriales; Herpotrichiellaceae.
AUGAUCAUUACUAGAGCAAAGGAUAGACACUACCCUACUUCGGUAGGGUUUAGAGUCGUCGGGCCUCUCGGAGAAGCUCGGUCCUGAACUCCACCCUUGAAUAAAUUACCUUUGUUGCUUUGGCGGGCCGCCUCGUGCCAGCGGCUUCGGCUGUUGAGUGCCCGCCAGAGGACCACAACUCUUGUUUUUAGUGAUGUCUGAGUACUAUAUAAUAGUUAAAACUUUCAACAACGGAUCUCUUGGUUCUGGCAUCGAUGAAGAACGCAGCGAAAUGCGAUAAGUAAUGUGAAUUGCAGAAUUCAGUGAAUCAUCGAAUCUUUGAACGCACAUUGCGCCCUCUGGUAUUCCGGGGGGCAUGCCUGUUCGAGCGUCAUUAUAACCACUCAAGCUCUCGCUUGGUAUUGGGGUUCGCGGUUUCGCGGCCCCUAAAAUCAGUGGCGGUGCCUGUCGGCUCUACGCGUAGUAAUACUUCUCGCGAUUGAGUCCGAUAGGUCUACUUGCCAGUAACCCCCAAUUUUUACAGGUUGACCUCGGAUCAGGUAGGGAUACCCGCUGAACUUAAGCAUAUCAAUAAGACGGAGGAAAA